GAACGAACGCUGGCGGCAUGCCUAACACAUGCAAGUCGAACGAGACCUUCGGGUCUAGUGGCGCACGGGUGCGUAACGCGUUGGAACCUGCCCUUAGGUUCGGAAUAACUCCCCGAAAGGGGUGCUAAUACCGGAUAAUGUCUUCGGACCAAAGAUUUAUCGCCUUUGGAUGGGCCCGCGUUGGAUUAGCUAGUUGGUAGGGUAAAAGCCUACCAAGGCGACGAUCCAUAGCUGGUCUGAGAGGAUGAUCAGCCACACUGGGACUGAGACACGGCCCAGACUCCUACGGGAGGCAGCAGUGGGGAAUAUUGGACAAUGGGCGAAAGCCUGAUCCAGCAAUGCCGCGUGAGUGAUGAAGGCCUUAGGGUUGUAAAGCUCUUUUACCCGGGAUGAUAAUGACAGUACCGGGAGAAUAAGCUCCGGCUAACUCCGUG
This 434-nucleotide ribosomal RNA is filed under the name uncultured bacterium. RNAcentral's name for it is "partial 16S ribosomal RNA". It matches the Rfam family "Bacterial small subunit ribosomal RNA", at positions 27 to 507 of the family's 1533-position model. The record is from RNAcentral.